GACGAACGCUGGCGGCGUGCUUAACACAUGCAAGUCGAGCGGUAAGGCCCUUUCGGGGGUACACGAGCGGCGAACGGGUGAGUAACACGUGGGUGACCUGCCCUCAGCUCUGGGAUAAGCCUGGGAAACCGGGUCUAAUACCGGAUAUGACUCCAUGACGCAUGCUGUGGGGUGGAAAGCCUUGUGCGGCUGAGGAUGGGCCCGCGGCCUAUCAGCUUGUUGGUGGGGUGANGGCCUACCAAGGCGACGACGGGUAGCCGGCCUGAGAGGGCGACCGGCCACACUGGGACUGAGACACGGCCCAGACUCCUACGGGAGGCAGCAGUGGGGAAUCUUGCGCAAUGGGCGAAAGCCUGACGCAGCGACGCCGCGUGAGGGAUGACGGCCUCGGUCGUAA
This 397-nucleotide ribosomal RNA is filed under the name uncultured bacterium. Its description in RNAcentral is "bacterial SSU rRNA". It matches the Rfam family "Bacterial small subunit ribosomal RNA", at positions 28 to 428 of the family's 1533-position model. The record is from RNAcentral.